UUCUUAUUGGAUGAUAAAUGUCACAUGUCAUGUUCUGAUUGGAUGUCAACUCCAUGAAAGAUGGAAUGCAUUGUUGUUUUCAUUGACCAAUCAGAACAUGACACGUGACAGUUAUCAUCC
Molecule: non-coding RNA, 120 nt
Organism: Glycine soja
Lineage: Eukaryota; Viridiplantae; Streptophyta; Magnoliopsida; Fabales; Fabaceae
Source: Rfam